Molecule: ribosomal RNA, 484 nt
Filed under: uncultured bacterium
Lineage: Bacteria
Description: partial 16S ribosomal RNA
Rfam family: Bacterial small subunit ribosomal RNA
Source: RNAcentral
GAUUAACGCUAGCGGCAGGCAUAAUACAUGCAAGUUGAACGGCAGCACAGGUAGCAAUACUGGGUGGCGAGUGGCGCACGGGUGCGUAACACGUAUGCAACCUACCCUAUACAGGCGAAUAACCUUUAGAAAUGAGGGCUAAUACGCCGUAGUAUUACAGAUGGGCAUCUAUUUGUAAUUAAAGAUUUAUCGGUAUCGGAUGGGCAUGCGUCCCAUUAGUUAGUUGGUAAGGUAACGGCUUACCAAGACGAUGAUGGGUAGGGGAUCUGAGAGGACUUACCCCCACACUGGUACUGAGACACGGACCAGACUCCUACGGGAGGCAGCAGUAAGGAAUAUUGGGCAAUGGCCGCGAGGCUGACCCAGCCAUGCCGCGUGCAGGAAGACGGCCUUAUGGGUUGUAAACUGCUUUUAUACGGGAAGAAUAGAGUGUACGCGUACAUUUAUGCAAGUAUCGUAUGAAUAAGCAUCGGCUAACUCCGUG